This 35-nucleotide non-coding RNA is filed under the name unclassified sequences. The record is from Rfam.
UUGGAGCAAGCCGAAAAUCCUGAAAAGAGUAGGCA